Passer domesticus (house sparrow) is the source of this 1268-nucleotide long non-coding RNA. RefSeq lists it as uncharacterized. Lineage: Eukaryota; Metazoa; Chordata; Aves; Passeriformes; Passeridae. The transcript has 4 exons. The record is from RefSeq and is a predicted model, not a curated record.
AGCAAGCAGCAUCACGUGGGAUGACAGGUUCUGCCCCCCAAACCAUCACGGAGGAACCGGCGUAGGCAGUGAAGGCAAAAGGAACAAAACGCUCUUUAGGCAUCAGGAGGCACCAAAAAGCUCAGCUGCUCUCCGCAGAAUACCCGCAAUAUGUUAUCAGCGCAGGGGCUGAAAGAGAAACGUGCCGGUUAUGCCACGCUGUGCCUCGUAAACCCUCCAGGAGAGCAGCACAUCGGCUUUUAGGAGCGAUUUUUCUGCUACGGGACUGUGGGCUCGGCCUCCUUGUGAGAGAAAUUCCGCAGCCAGGCUGCGGAGCCAGUGUGCUUCAUCUGCCACUGCCACCGCUUCUACAAGGACAGGCCCUCUCACUGCUGUGCCAUUCGCUUCCACUUGGUCCUGUUCAUUAUUAGCUUUUUAUAAAUAGGUGUCCUGCAAAAACCCCUGAAAUUUAGCACAGUGGAGACCUAGGCAUGUAUAGUGCUCAUAUCCAGAUAAAUAAAUGCCCGUUGAACUGUGCAUGGGUCUGUGUGAUUCUGGAUGUGCAAUCUGGCUGCUGUUCUCAUGCCUUCAGAUAAGGAUCUUCAGCAACCCUGAGAGUGCACAGCAAGACCACCUAGAGUGUCACCUGGCAUUGGACAGACACAUUCAUCCUUUCAAGGUUCCUGUCAAAAUAAUCAGGAAUUGGAACACUUGAAACCAACUUCAUUACACAUGGCAAGCAUGAAAGAUGGAAAGAGUGAAUGAGAAUUUUAAUUGUUUUGGAAGUUUGCAGACUCUCAGAGCUCAGUGACAGCUUCCUCAGUGACAAUGAACCAAGGUCAAGCAACAGAGCUACACAAAACCAGCCUGGGGUCAAGGCCAGAUGGAGCUCUGGGCUGCAGGAGCCCUGAACCUGACAGCACAGCUCAGGGAAGUUGAGUGGUCCCUCUGUGACAUCAAACUGGCUUUGUGCAGGAAGGACAACAGAUCCCAUCUGGAUGUGAUGAUGCAGCAGACUGGUACCCACAGGGAUCUCUUUCUUCACUGGGAUGCACAUCUCUUUCAACUCAUGAUCUGAGAUGCACCAGUCAAGACAGCUCACACUGAUCCAGUGAGCAUGAUAUUCCAUGCACAACAAACUGAAAUACAUAUACAAUCUGUAGGAUGUACAUUAUAUACACAUGUGCAUAUAUAUAUAAUCAUACAACUACAGAUAGACUGCUAAACCAUAAAUCCUCAUUCCAUGUUAAACACAAUUUUUGAAUAAAAAGUUUAAAUAAAAAUUUUAA